Molecule: long non-coding RNA, 938 nt
Organism: Homo sapiens (human)
Lineage: Eukaryota; Metazoa; Chordata; Mammalia; Primates; Hominidae
Product: long intergenic non-protein coding RNA 1681
Source: Ensembl
AUGGUUAGAGUCUCAGUCUCUAUUACGGGCCCUAGUACACUUCAGGAACUCAAAAGCUUUGCUGAUAUAAUGCAAGGUGAUAAAAAAGUAGAAAGACUUGGGAUAAUCUUGAUUUCUGAAGGCAUCAAACGGGAAUUAGAGAAAGCAGCAGGAAAAACGAAGGCCUUUUUAAGUUCCAUGAGAACUACGGUUUGCAAGACUGGUCAAAACAGUACAAUGCAAGCGGCAAGAAUCAGGAAGUGCACAGAAACAAGAAGCUCGGUGCACACUGGGAUCAGGCAAGCAUCUGGGAGAAGACUGUAGCAAGACUGGAUCCUGAGAAAUAUACAGAGUUCAGAGGCUCCAUGGCUACACUUUGGGCAUGUAUGUCAUUACAGGAAUGAAAAAAAGAUGAUGGCCAAAUGCUGUAUUAAAAUCCCAUUAGAAAUGCCGGGAGAAAUUUAUGGCCCCAAUCUCUUUUAUCUGACAGCAGUUCCCAUGUGAUCCAUCAGGCUCUGAACAUGAAUUUUAAUGGGCUCAGAACCACUUCUCUACCCUGAGGUCACAGGCUGUCAGAGUGAAUCUUCCACAAACUGAUUGGAACCUGAAGAAUUUGCUCUGUCAAGAGAGCGAGAGCUUCCAAUUAAAAGGAAGAAGGAAGAACAGGACAUAUUUUCUGUAAGAACAAAAAAUGCCACAUGGUGCUUACCCUACCUGGCUGAUUUCUCUGUUAGGAAUAUAAUCUUCACAAGGCAGAGAGUAUUUUUCUUAUCAGUGCUGCUCUGGCCAAGUCACCUCGCUGAAAUCUCCACUUCCACUUGUGCAACCUACCAAGCCACUCUCUACACAGCUGCCAGAGUGAUUACAAAAACAACGCGGGAUUAUGCUACCCCUGCUUAUCUAAAAUUUGUCAAAAUGCCCGUUACACUUUGAAUAAAAUACAGAUUCCUCUCAGAUCU